RNAcentral lists this transfer-messenger RNA (352 nucleotides) under Phycisphaerales. RNAcentral's name for it is "QWPT01 sp003671065 Standard tmRNA". It matches the Rfam family "transfer-messenger RNA". From Rfam's summary of the family: Bacterial tmRNA, also known as 10Sa RNA or SsrA, is named for its dual tRNA and mRNA-like properties. Lineage: Bacteria; Pseudomonadati; Planctomycetota; Phycisphaerae. RNAcentral also lists the same sequence under 1 other name. The record is from RNAcentral.
GGGGCCGACUAGCUUCGACCGGACGCACCUGAUUCAUCGUUGCGAGCCGUGGAGCAUCCAGGCCACGUAAAAAGGAUGCACAACAACAACUGCCAACACGCAGUACGCUCUCGCCGCUUAAUUGCCGCGACGCGCGCGGACCCCACGCCCAGUAAGGUCCGCCCGCGAAAAACACUGGGCUGGUUCCAAAGCGAUGCCUUACCGCCGCGGGACGAGAAAACAGUCAGGCUGGUUUGAGGUUGGCGCCCGCCGUCAGCGGAUGCCUCGAACGAGAUUGAGAUGACGGAAACGCUUGUUGACGCGAUGAGUGAGACGUUUCGGCACGGGGGUGCGAAUCCCCCCGGCUCCAUUA